CAUAACACCUCUGAGCUUUCGGAAGCUGACAAGCUCUUCAAAGCGCAGGCCAUAUGGAGAGGUUCUAGCCAAUGGCCAGAAGCAAAUGCCAGAGGUAGGAGUGCAGAUGACUCCAGAUGAUUCUAGCUCCCACCUUUGAGUCUUCCCAAAUGAGGUUCCAGACACUGUGGAGAAGAGAUACGAUCUGCAGUGUUUGAUAUGUUUUUGCUGCACCCUCCAAUUCCAAAUGCACAGGAUCUGGGAGUGCAAUAAGAGCGUUGUUUUAACCUUCUAAGUUUUGGGAUGAUUUGUCACAGGACGACAGUAAUUGGAACAGCAGAAAUUAAAGAUAGCAUAUUGCAAGAACUUUGGCUUUCCUCAUACCAAGUAACCCAAGAAAGAUUCCAGGAGGUUUAAGACUCUCUCUGUGAAGAUGGCUUAAAGGGAAAUAAAGAGGCGCCUUUGAACGAACAAAAUACACACAGCGGCCGUAUUUUCCGAGUCUUUCUGAAAAUGCAGCACCCCCUGAACAGGGUGCCAUGGGAAUUGUUAGAACUCUUUACAAUAGCCACGAAGAAAAUGUAACGGCAGGGAAAAGGUGCAUGAACAACAAGAAAAAAUGUACAACUGUAAAUAACAGGUUUCACUGUGUCAAGAACAUUUGUAUUAAAAAGCUGUGUUAAGAGGAAAACAAAAACCUAACACAUAA
Suricata suricatta (meerkat) is the source of this 688-nucleotide long non-coding RNA. RefSeq lists it as uncharacterized. The record is from RefSeq and is a predicted model, not a curated record. The transcript is spliced from 2 exons. Lineage: Eukaryota; Metazoa; Chordata; Mammalia; Carnivora; Herpestidae.